AAAUUGAAGAGUUUGAUCAUGGCUCAGAUUGAACGCUGGCGGCAGGCCUAACACAUGCAAGUCGAACGGUAACAGAAAGAAGCUUGCUU
This 89-nucleotide ribosomal RNA is filed under the name Escherichia coli. RNAcentral's name for it is "partial 16S ribosomal RNA". It matches the Rfam family "Bacterial small subunit ribosomal RNA", at positions 1 to 85 of the family's 1533-position model. The record is from RNAcentral. Lineage: Bacteria; Pseudomonadati; Pseudomonadota; Gammaproteobacteria; Enterobacterales; Enterobacteriaceae.